GACGUAGGGCGCGAGCGUUGUCCGGAUUUAUUGGGCGUAAAGAGCUCGUAGGCGGCUUGUCACGUCGGGUGUGAAAGCCCGGGGCUUAACCCCGGGUCUGCAUUCGAUACGGGCUAGCUAGAGUGUGGUAGGGGGAGAUCGGAAUUCCUGGUGUAGCGGUGAAAUGCGCAGAUAUCAGGAGGAACACCGGUGGCGAAGGCGGUUCUCUGGGCAUGUCCUGACGCUGAGGAGCGAAAGUGUGGGGAGCGAACAGG
RNAcentral lists this ribosomal RNA (254 nucleotides) under uncultured bacterium. RNAcentral describes it as "partial 16S ribosomal RNA". It matches the Rfam family "Bacterial small subunit ribosomal RNA", at positions 524 to 776 of the family's 1533-position model. The record is from RNAcentral.